This 1359-nucleotide ribosomal RNA is filed under the name uncultured bacterium. RNAcentral describes it as "bacterial SSU rRNA". It matches the Rfam family "Bacterial small subunit ribosomal RNA", at positions 28 to 1381 of the family's 1533-position model. The record is from RNAcentral.
GAUGAACGCUAGCUACAGGCUUAACACAUGCAAGUCGAGGGGCAGCAUUUCAGUUUGCUUGCAAACUGGAGAUGGCGACCGGCGCACGGGUGAGUAACACGUAUCCAACCUGCCGAUAACUCGGGGAUAGCCUUUCGAAAGAAAGAUUAAUACCCGAUGGUAUAAUCAGACCGCAUGGUCUUGUUAUUAAAGAAUUUCGGUUAUCGAUGGGGAUGCGUUCCAUUAGGCAGUUGGUGAGGUAACGGCUCACCAAACCUUCGAUGGAUAGGGGUUCUGAGAGGAAGGUCCCCCACAUUGGAACUGAGACACGGUCCAAACUCCUACGGGAGGCAGCAGUGAGGAGUAUUGGUCAAUGGGCGCAGGCCUGAACCAGCCAAGUAGCGUGAAGGAUGACUGCCCUAUGGGUUGUAAACUUCUUUUAUAUGGGAAUAAAGUUUUCCACGUGUGGAAUUUUGUAUGUACCAUAUGAAUAAGGAUCGGCUAACUCCGUGCCAGCAGCCGCGGUAAUACGGAGGAUCCGAGCGUUAUCCGGAUUUAUUGGGUUUAAAGGGAGCGUAGGUGGACAGUUAAGUCAGUUGUGAAAGUUUGCGGCUCAACCGUAAAAUUGCAGUUGAUACUGGCUGUCUUGAGUACAGUAGAGGUGGGCGGAAUUCGUGGUGUAGCGGUGAAAUGCUUAGAUAUCACGAAGAACUCCGAUUGCGAAGGCAGCUCACUGGACUGCAACUGACACUGAUGCUCGAAAGUGUGGGUAUCAAACAGGAUUAGAUACCCUGGUAGUCCACACAGUAAACGAUGAAUACUCGCUGUUUGCGAUAUACAGUAAGCGGCCAAGCGAAAGCAUUAAGUAUUCCACCUGGGGAGUACGCCGGCAACGGUGAAACUCAAAGGAAUUGACGGGGGCCCGCACAAGCGGAGGAACAUGUGGUUUAAUUCGAUGAUACGCGAGGAACCUUACCCGGGCUUAAAUUGCAUUUGAAUAUAUUGGAAACAGUAUAGCCGUAAGGCAAAUGUGAAGGUGCUGCAUGGUUGUCGUCAGCUCGUGCCGUGAGGUGUCGGCUUAAGUGCCAUAACGAGCGCAACCCUUAUCUUUAGUUACUAACAGGUCAUGCUGAGGACUCUAGAGAGACUGCCGUCGUAAGAUGUGAGGAAGGUGGGGAUGACGUCAAAUCAGCACGGCCCUUACGUCCGGGGCUACACACGUGUUACAAUGGGGGGUACAGAAGGCAGCUACCUGGUGACAGGAUGCUAAUCCCAAAAGCCUCUCUCAGUUCGGAUCGAAGUCUGCAACCCGACUUCGUGAAGCUGGAUUCGCUAGUAAUCGCGCAUCAGCCAUGGCGCGGUGAAUACGUUCCCGGGCCU